ACUUCUUUAGUAUAUAUAGUACAAUUGAUUUCCAAUCAAAUAGAUUAAUUUUUUUUAAGAAGUA
Molecule: transfer RNA, 64 nt
Filed under: Tanystylum sp. JZ-2022
Lineage: Eukaryota; Metazoa; Arthropoda; Pycnogonida; Pantopoda; Tanystylidae
Description: tRNA-Gly
Source: RNAcentral